CGGGGUGCACCAGGCGCGAAAACUUUACAAUGCCGGCAACGGCGAUAAGGGAACCUCGAGUGCCAGGUUACAAAUCUGGCUGUCGUGAUGCCUAAAAAGCAUUGCAUAGCAAGGGCCGGGCAAGACCGGUGCCAGCCGCCGCGGUAACACCGGCGGCUCGAGUGGUAACCGUUAUUAUUGGGUCUAAAGGGUCUGUAGCCGGCCGGGUAAGUCUCUUGGGAAAUCUGGCAGCUUAACUGUCAGGCUUUCAGGAGAUACUGCCUGGCUCGAGGCCGGGAGAGGUGAGAGGUACUUCAGGGGUAGGGGUGAAAUCUUGUAAUCCUUGAAGGACCACCAGUGGCGAAGGCGUCUCACCAGAACGGACCUGCCGGCAAGGGACGAAAGCUAGGGGCACGAACCGGAUUAGAUACCCGGGUAGUCCUAGCCGUAAACGAUACUCGCUAGGUGUCGGCCACGGUGCGACCGUGGUCGGUGCCGUAGGGAAGCCGUGAAGCGAGCCACCUGGGAAGUACGGCCGCAAGGCUGAAACUUAAAGGAAUG
This 540-nucleotide ribosomal RNA is filed under the name uncultured archaeon. Its description in RNAcentral is "bacterial SSU rRNA". It matches the Rfam family "Archaeal small subunit ribosomal RNA", at positions 326 to 866 of the family's 1478-position model. The record is from RNAcentral.